This is an RNA transcript of Oncorhynchus keta (chum salmon), 1994 nucleotides long. RefSeq lists it as uncharacterized. NCBI's taxonomy places the organism in Eukaryota, Metazoa, Chordata, Actinopteri, Salmoniformes, Salmonidae. The record is from RefSeq and is a predicted model, not a curated record. The transcript is spliced from 3 exons.
UCAAAACUAUGGAACAACACAUAUGGAAUCAUGUAGUAUUUUGAAAGUUUGAACGUUUCUUCAAGUGCCGUCGCAAAAACCAUCAAGCACUAUGAUGAAACUGGCUCUCAUGAGGACCGCCACAAGAAAGGAAGACCCAGAGUUACCUCUGCUGCAGAGGAUACAUUUAUUAGAGUUAACUGCACAUCAGAUUCCAGCCCAAAUAAAUGCUUCAAAGAUUUUAAGUAACAGACACAUCUCAACAUCAACUGUUAAGAAGAGACUGCGUGAAUCAAGCCUUCAUGGUCGAAUUGCUGCAAAGAAACCACUACUAAAGGACACCAAUAAAAAGAAUAGCCUUGCUUGGACCAAGAAACACGAGCAAUGGACAUUAGACCGAUGGAAAUCUGUCCUUUGGCCUGAUGAGUCCCAAUGUGAGAUUUUUGGUUUCAACCGCCAUGUGAUUGUGAGACGCAGAGUAGAUGAAAGGAUGAUCUCUGUAUGUGUGGUUCCCACCAUGAAGCAUGGGGGAGGAGGUGUGAUGGUGUGGGGGAGCUUUGCCCGUGACACUGUCAGUGAUUUAGUUAGAAUUCAAGGCACACUUAACCAGCAUGGCUACCACAGCAUUCUGCAGCGAUAUGGCAUCCCAUCUGGUUUGCCCUUAGUGGGACUAUCAUUUGUUUUUCAACAGGACAAUGACCAGAAACACACCUCCAGGCUGUGUAUAGGCUAUUUGACCAAGGAGGAGAGUGAUGGAGUGCUGCAUCAGAUGACCUGGCCUCCACAAUCACCCGACCUCAAACCAAUUGAGAUGGUUUAGGAUGAGUAGGACUUCAGUGUGAAGGGAAAGCAGCCAACAAGUGCUCAGCAUAUGUGGGAACUCCUUCAAGACUGUUGGAAAAGCAUUCCAGGUGAAGAUGGUUGAGAGAAUGCCAAGAGUGUGCAAAGCUGUCAUCAAGGCAAAGGGUGGCUACUUUGAAGAAUCUCGCACUUUUUUGGUAACUAAAUAGUUUUGAUGUCUUCACUACUCUAUUCUACAAUGUAGAAAAUAGUCUAAAUAAAGAAAAACCUUUGAAAGAGUAGAUGUGUCCAAACGGUUGACUGUUACUGUAUGUCUACUGUAUGUGUAUGUGUGUGUCACCAGUACUAACCCCCACUUCUGGUAUAGACCAGCGAUGGUGAAAGUAUAUACCUUAGCUUAUCGCUAUGCUAUUAUGACUAUCAUUUGACAACAACAGGACAUGGAAGCAAACCAGGACAUAUCAACACAGCAGGCCUGCAGAGACAUACUGGGAGAAUUACUACAGGGGAGUUGGGAUAGGGGCAGGCACCAGGUAUUAAGCCACAACAUCAGAGUGACACAGAAAGGGAGCCCUGGGACCAUAUUCAAGAGAAGAACAAGGCAACACUGGGGGUGGGGCAGGGCAAAGGGCAGUAUGAGGCAGGGGGGCGUCCGAUUGGUGGGUUCGUAUGGGGGAGAGUGGGGCCUUCUCUGAGUCAGUCAGGAAUGCACCAUGCAGCUGUCACCUCAGAGAGAGAGACAGAGGUAGAGGAGGACAGGAGAAGAGAGGAGAACAGAGAGAGGAGUAGAGGAACAACAGAGCAGGUAGAAGACAGAGAGACAGAUAGGAGGAGUGAGGAUGUGGGGGACAGGAGAAGAGAGGAGAACAGAGAGAGGAGGAGAGGAACAACAGAGCAGGUAGAAGACAGAGAGACAGAUAGGAGGAGUGAGGAUGUGGGGGACAGGAGAAGAGAGGAGAACAGAGAGAGGAGGAGAGGAACAACAGAGCAGGUAGAAGACAGAGAGACAGAUAGGAGGAGUGAGGAUGUGGGGGACAGGAGAAGAGAGGAGAACAGAGAGAGGAGGAGAGGAACAACAGAGCAGGUAGAAGACAGAGAGACAGAUAGGAGGAGUGAGGAUGUGGGGGACAGGAGAAGAGAGGAGAACAGAGAGAGGAGGAGAGGAACAACAGAGCAGGUAGAAGACAGAGAGACAGAUAGGAGGAGUGAGGAUG